UACGAAGGGGGCGAGCGUUGUUCGGAAUUACUGGGCGUAAAGGGCGCGCAGGCGGCUCUGAAAGUCAGAUGUGAAAGCCCCGGGCUUAACCUGGGAAUUGCAUUUGAUACUCUGGAGCUUGAGUACGGGAGAGGAGAGUGGAAUUCCCAGUGUAGAGGUGAAAUUCGUAGAUAUUGGGAAGAACACCGGUGGCGAAGGCGGCUCUCUGGACCGUAACUGACGCUGAGGCGCGAAAGCGUGGGGAGCAAACAGG
RNAcentral lists this ribosomal RNA (253 nucleotides) under Rhodospirillales bacterium. Its description in RNAcentral is "partial 16S ribosomal RNA". It matches the Rfam family "Bacterial small subunit ribosomal RNA", at positions 524 to 776 of the family's 1533-position model. RNAcentral also lists the same sequence under 2 other names. The record is from RNAcentral. Lineage: Bacteria; Pseudomonadati; Pseudomonadota; Alphaproteobacteria; Rhodospirillales.